GGGGGCUAUAAUGCAGUCGAGCGGACAGAUGGGAGCUUGCUCCCUGAUGUUAGCGGCGGACGGGUGAGUAACACGUGGGUAACCUGCCUGUAAGACUGGGAUAACUCCGGGAAACCGGGGCUAAUACCGGAUGGUUGUUUGAACCGCAUGGUUCAGACAUAAAAGGUGGCUUCGGCUACCACUUACAGAUGGACCCGCGGCGCAUUAGCUAGUUGGUGAGGUAACGGCUCACCAAGGCAACGAUGCGUAGCCGACCUGAGAGGGUGAUCGGCCACACUGGGACUGAGACMCGGCCCAGAYUCCUACGGGAGGCAGCAGUAGGGAAUCUUUCCGCAAUGGACGAAAGUCUGACGGAGCAACGCCGCGUGAGUGAUGAAGGUUUUCGGAUCGUAAAGCUCUGUUGUUAGGGAAGAACAAGUGCCGUUCAAAUAGGGCGGCACCUUGACGGUACCUAACCAGAAAGCCACGGCUAACUACGUGCCAGCAGCCGCGGUAAUACGUAGGUGGCAAGCGUUGUCCGGAAUUAUUGGGCGUAAAGGGCUCGCAGGCGGUUUCUUAAGUCUGAUGUGAAAGCCCCCGGCUCAACCGGGGAGGGUCAUUGGAAACUGGGGAACUUGAGUGCAGAAGAGGAGAGUGGAAUUCCACGUGUAGCGGUGAAAUGCGUAGAGAUGUGGAGGAACACCAGUGGCGAAGGCGACUCUCUGGUCUGUAACUGACGCUGAGGAGCGAAAGCGUGGGGAGCGAACAGGAUUAGAUACCCUGGUAGUCCACGCCGUAAACGAUGAGUGCUAAGUGUUAGGGGGUUUCCGCCCCUUAGUGCUGCAGCUAACGCAUUAAGCACUCCGCCUGGGGAGUACGGUCGCAAGACUGAAACUCAAAGGAAUUGACGGGGGCCCGCACAAGCGGUGGAGCAUGUGGUUUAAUUCGAAGCAACGCGAAGAACCUUACCAGGUCUUGACAUCCUCUGACAAUCCUAGAGAUAGGACGUCCCCUUCGGGGGCAGAGUGACAGGUGGUGCAUGGUUGUCGUCAGCUCGUGUCGUGAGAUGUUGGGUUAAGUCCCGCAACGAGCGCAACCCUUGAUCUUAGUUGCCAGCAUUCAGUUGGGCACUCUAAGGUGACUGCCGGUGACAAACCGGAGGAAGGUGGGGAUGACGUCAAAUCAUCAUGCCCCUUAUGACCUGGGCUACACACGUGCUACAAUGGRCAGAACAAAGGGCAGCGAAACCGCGAGGUUAAGCCAAUCCCACAAAUCUGUUCUCAGUUCGGAUCGCAGUCUGCAACUCGACUGCGUGAAGCUGGAAUCGCUAGUAAUCGCGGAUCAGCAUGCCGCGGUGAAUACGUUCCCGGGCCUUGUACACACCGCCCGUCACACCACGAGAGUUUGUAACACCCGAAGUCGGUGAGGUAACCUUUAGGAGCCAGCCGCCGAAGGUGACA
Molecule: ribosomal RNA, 1439 nt
Filed under: Bacillus amyloliquefaciens
Lineage: Bacteria; Bacillati; Bacillota; Bacilli; Caryophanales; Bacillaceae
Description: bacterial SSU rRNA
Rfam family: Bacterial small subunit ribosomal RNA
Source: RNAcentral